Molecule: long non-coding RNA, 269 nt
Filed under: Malus domestica (apple)
Lineage: Eukaryota; Viridiplantae; Streptophyta; Magnoliopsida; Rosales; Rosaceae
Description: long non-coding RNA (MDOM_LNC005607)
Source: RNAcentral
CUUAGUAAAAAUCUGAGUCGUGUCUUGAAAGUACGGAAUAUAUAAAGUUCGCCAGAGUCCGAAGAUUGAAGUGUUUUGACUUCGGAUUAUAGAUUGUUGAAUCCUGGGAGAUGGACGCCUACCGAACUACAAGUACAAGAGUAUGGGUGAAAUUCUAUCUUUAGGAUAUUGCAUUUAUGCAAGCCUCAAUCUCCAAGUUUGUCAGUUAUUCUAACUUUCACUCUAGUUCUUUAUAUUAAUCUCAUAUAUAAUUGAUGUUGUGAAUUUCU